CUGCGGCGAGGGCCAGAAAACCACGGCCGGCCAAAUGCCUUAAAGGGGUAACCCGUCGCGCGCGUUUUCUGCAGGAAAGAGUCCGCCCAAGUUUGGUGGGUGUGGGCUGUUGUCUUGCGCAUGCAGGAACAGGCUGCUGUGUCGCUCUCUUGCUCAUAGCUGGAGCAUGCGGCGCUCCCCAUUGUCCCUGGCAUGCCGAUACAGGAGAGGGGGGAGACACAGAUGCAGACAGCCCAGAGGGACGUACUGUCCCCUCCGUGAGCCCGGCCCCCUGGGGUCCACUGCAGACUCUGAACCAGCAGAAGCAAAGCCCUCUGCUCGGGGUCCAGGAGUUGCUGCCCAGGGAUCCUGGUUCCAAAUGACCUCUGGCUCCAUCUUGGAACGUCAUGCCAGAUUCUCUUCAGCUCGUCGCCACUCUGUAAUCGCAGCACUUGUGGAGGCUCAGGAGGAGCGAAAUCUUGAGCACAGCCGGGGCAAAUUAACCACUGUGAGACCCUGUCGCAAAAGAACUGCAUUAUGAAGUUCUGUGGAUGGAGUUCAAGGAGGAGAGGCUCUGGUUCAAUUCAGAACAGUGGGGAGGGGAAUAACUUUACUUUCACAAUAUUAACAGCAGUCACUUGAUUCUGGAGACUUCUCUUUCCUGGGGUCCACCCUGCCCUCCUCUUCUGGGAAAGGAACACUCUGAGAGGUGGGCACAGGGGCAUGAGGAGGACUGGGAGCCAGGCCUUCUGCACCCUCUCUCUCCGCUGCCCCACUUCUGCUAUGUGUGUCAAAUCUUAAGACCUUGGAAGUCUCCCUAGCCUGUGCACUCCCACAGCUCCAACCCAGGGUUGUGGGGAGAACAACCCACAGUCUUAUAUUUCCAAUGAAAAGUAGCAAUGCCAGGACCCUGGGUACAUAAAGGCAGGAGCAUUUGAUUUUGAGACACAUCUCACUUUUCUUUUUUUUUUUUUGUACCAAGAAUCAAACUCAGGACCUUGUGCUUGCCAGGCAGGCACUUAUGCUACUGAGCUAAAUCCCCAACAAGGAGGGCAUUUGAAAGGGAGACACCCCUGGAGUUUGAGGUGUGCAGUUGCCUUGCUACAGGAGCAACAAGAUGGGCAGUGGUGUCGAGCCACACACACACACACACACACACACACACACACUCACAGAGUUCUAUAUAGAUCUCUGUGCCCGGAGGCUUGAUACCUUGGGGCCAGGUGCCCUGGAGCUUGAGGCAGGAACCUCAGAAAAGAGAGGGAGCCAGCACCAGAUAAAGGAUACAGCAUCUCUACUUCUGCACCUAGGUGCCUAGACCAGAAACAGAACCCACCAGGGCAAACCUCUACUGCCUCCCAGAUGCUAUUCAGACUCAUUGGCUUCUCCAUUCCUUCCCCAAGACCCACCUCCAUCCUGACCUUUCCAAACCUGACCAGACAGAAUGUCUAAAGAUCCAGUUCUUUUUUUUUUUUUUUUUCUUCGUUUUUAUCGGUACCAGGGAUCGAACUCACAACUGCCUGCAAGGCAAGCGCUUAUGCCGCUGAGCUAAGUCCCCAGCCCCUAAAGAUCCAGUUCUAAAACCAGGUGUGGUGGUACAUCCCUGUAAUCCCAGCACUUAGAAGGCUGAGACAGGAGGAACCUUUUGAGUUAAAGACUGACCUGGGCUACAAAGUGAGCUCAAGUUCAGCCUGAACUGCAUACCAAGACCCUGUUUCAAAAAGACAACAUAAAAUAAAAUAAAGAUCUGGGCAGAGAUUUAGCUGAGUGGCAUAAGCACCUGCCUGGCAAGCACCAGGCCAUGAGUUCAAUCCCUAGUGCCUAAAUAAAUAAAUAAAUAAAUAUUCCGGUCUGACUUGCCACUUCUGGUUGAGACUCAGAGUCCAUUGAAGUUCGAAUCUAUAUUUAGAGCCCGCCUUCCCCUCCAGCACAGUACCACCUCCCUCACUGGACACCCCAGGUUCCAGUCCUCAGCAGUCCUUCAGGCCCAGAAGGAUCUAGGUCCUGACCCCAGGACCCUGAGGUUCCAGACUUGCUCUCCAACCUCCCAGAGCCUCCUAGGAAAAGUGCUCCAACUUCAGAGGCAUCUUCACAAUCCACCCUGAGCUGUGGCACAGCCCUGAUGCCAAAGAUUGCCCCUGGCUGGAGCCACCCAGAUGGUGCUGGUUUCAGAAAACGUACAGGAAGAAACAGAAGAGAGUAGGAAUGGUGGAAGACAGGAACACAGGGUGGAGAUCUAGUGUUUCCAGAUAUUAACUGUGGUUUGGCCACCAGGAGCCAAUUGGUAAAUGAAACUGUUCCCAUGAAAAAACAAUGUUACAAAUGUAAUAUCUGC
RNAcentral lists this long non-coding RNA (2314 nucleotides) under Cavia porcellus (domestic guinea pig). Its description in RNAcentral is "lncRNA (ENSCPOG00000032017.1)". Lineage: Eukaryota; Metazoa; Chordata; Mammalia; Rodentia; Caviidae. The record is from RNAcentral.